Molecule: long non-coding RNA, 2051 nt
Organism: Ictalurus punctatus (channel catfish)
Lineage: Eukaryota; Metazoa; Chordata; Actinopteri; Siluriformes; Ictaluridae
Exons: 3
Source: RefSeq, a predicted model, not a curated record
GUCUUCUGGGAAGGCUUUCUACUAGGAUUUGGAGUGUGGUUGUGGGGAUUUGUGUUCAUUCAGUUACAAGAGCAUUAGUGACGCCAGGCACUGAUGUCAGGUGAGGAGACCAGGCACACAGUCAGGUGUUUAGUGGGGUUGAAGUCAGGGCUCUGUGCAGGCCACUUGAGUUCUUUCAGACCAAGCAUGGCAAACAUGUCUUGAAGGAGUUCAGUUUGUGCCCAUGGGGAAUAUCAUGCUGGAACACAUUUGGGCCUCUUAGUUCCAGUGGAAUUGUAAUGCUACAGCAUACAAAGACAUCCUAUACAGCUGUGUGCUUCCAACUAUGUUGCAACAGUGUGAGGAAGAAUCACACAUGGGUGUGAAGGUCAAGUGUCCACAUACUUUUGGCCUUAUAGUGUACUUUGAGGGUUGCGAUAACUACAAAUACUCCUCAGCACUUUGGUAAACAGUAAACCGACCCUAUUUUCUGUCCCACCUGAUCUGUGAGAUGUAGGCUAAUCGGGUGCUUUGUUUCAGCCCCUCGUAUUAUUUAAUCAGAUUCUGGAAAAAGCCAAUUAGCUCACUGGGACACUCGCUUAUGUCAUGGGAAUACAGGCCCGGUGAGCUCAGACUACUUCUUUUAAAGUGACCAAUAGGAGAAAAAGGAGGUUGGCACCUAUUUUAGAAUUUAGAUUUUAAAUGGCAAUUUCCAUCCCUUAAGUGGAAAAUUUUAACCGCCUGUUUUCUUUGUUAAGGCUGAUUUGAAGCCAGUGGUAUGUGAAACAUAAGCAAGUGGUUGUAAAAUGCGUGGGGGAGGGAACGUGGCUGCAUGAGACACCAGAAAUAAACUCCAGUCAUUCUGACGGUGAGGAUUCAUGUGAUCUCACCCUCCCCACACUGGUCCGUUCAGAAGAGAGAGAGAGAGAGAGAGAGAUUUUGGCUUGUGGCCAUGCGCACGAGAGCCUGGUCACGUCCCACUGCAGAAAAUCUCCCCCUAACCGACCAACCAUGCUGCAGAUUUCUGACAGGACGCCCUGAUAUGUGCAAAACCACUCCCCCAUUGCCAGAUGACGUUGCCAUAACAACCUCUCUGUCUCACUAGUGCGCUGAUGUGGAGAGCCAGCAGUGGGAGGGGCUAUGCAAAUCAAGGCAAGAGGAGAAAGUCACAUUGAGCUCUGGUUUGGUGACGAAACCAGGAUGUGUUUGAAAAGCUAUACGACGUAUUAAUGAGUUUACUCAGUGCGUCAUUAAAAAUAAUACCGGGGAGAGUAAAAAAAAAGAAAUGGAUUCCAGUGAGGUUUGAUCUUUAUUAGGCAUUUUGUGUUGAAGGAUUUUCAUCCAUUCAGAUGUAGAUCUAGCGAGAUAGAGAUAGCGCGAGAGAAAGAAAGAGGGGCCAGGAACACAGUGAGGGCUGCUUUUAAUCAGCUUGUCACUGUCCCCACGUGACUGCUCGGCUUUUACCUGGAGUCAUAACUACAGCAGGGAUCAGCGGUCUCGCUAAGCCGAGCACGUCGGAUUAAGUGACAGCUGGAAACUGAUGUGGAAGUAAAAGGGGGGCAGCUGGAGAAUGAGAUCGGCCUGCACUAACACACCUGACUCAAGUCAUCAGGACUUCCUGAGGUUAGAACUGGAAAUGCACUGAAAGACUGAAGAACUGAGGAGACACCACAUGGCCUAAAGUGUCUUCAGGCAUAAAUGAACCUCAACAGAGGUAAGGGAAGCGCCACACGUUCCCCAGACCGACCGCGAAGCCCACGCAGGACAUGAUGAAGUCCAUCUGCCGGCUCCAUGUCUCUCUCGCCGGCCGCACGCGCAUGUUCUCGCCGAUCAGAGCGCCGUUCACGGCCUGGUGGUUCCCGUUGGGAAUGAGGUGGCCUUUCUUCUCCUCCGCCAUCACCACCCCGCAGCAUUCUGUCCCCAUAUCCUCCACGCAACAGUCUGCUCCGAGUGCGGUCUUCUCGCUCUUCUCCAUCCUAAACACACGUGUAUAUGCACACACACUCUCACACACACACACACACUCAAAGAGCCCUAAUAAGACUGGGACAAAAUAAAAAAGAGAGGGAAAA